AAAAACAGAACUGAAACCAAAAAUAACUGUACCAGGAACCAGAGGUACUGAGAAAUUGUAAGCAAUCAGAAGCUAUUGUACUAAGAGUAUAUGUACUCUUAUCUGUAAGUUUUCUAAAAGGAUAAUCACACAUCUUUGAUGAAAACACUUUUAAGCAAAGAUUUUGUCAGUUUCUUUUUUUUUCUUCUUAUCUGAAUUGCUAACAGUGGUCCAUCCAGCAUCUCGCAUUCUCUUGAUUGCAGCCAAUUUCAACACUGUUCCUGGAGACUUACAUGGAAAAGAACUCUGUACCUGUACAUAAUUUGCACAUGAUGACUGUCAAAACAAGAACAUUAAGGAAUCAUUUUGGUCAAAACUAGCCAUAUGUGAUUUUUGUUUACCUUCUUGAACAUGUCAAGACUCCCUGUGUCUAGGUCUUUUGGUUGCAUAGGUUUCUUUGAUUUAAUAGGUUUUGGAGAGAAACUCUACACAACAGAUACAGGGGAUUAAGAAAGAGUAGCACAAACCACAAUUGUAAGAAAUUACUUGUUAUUAUUUAUUGCAAAUAAAAAUGCAGAUCACUGUAAACUGUUUGUAUAUAGCACAAUAUCAAUGGUAUGUGAAUAGUGUGAAUAGAUACAAUUUACCAGUA
This is a long non-coding RNA of Carassius carassius (crucian carp), 631 nucleotides long. RefSeq lists it as uncharacterized. NCBI's taxonomy places the organism in Eukaryota, Metazoa, Chordata, Actinopteri, Cypriniformes, Cyprinidae. The record is from RefSeq and is a predicted model, not a curated record. The transcript has 2 exons.